UAGUAAGGGGUGGCCAUAGUAAGGGGGAGGGGCUUUGUACAUCUGGGGAUGUAAUGUGGCCGUUCUGCAGCGUAGUGUAUUACUGAUGUGAGGAUGAUGGGGGUAGUAGUGAUGAGACCUCUGCUUCUUCCAGUGCCGGACGCUCCCCCCCGGCCCCCCUUCUCCUCUCGUCUUCUCUUUCACCCCACGUUUGAGGCGUAUUUCGCCGCCGUCGCCGUCUGUCAGAACCUGGAGACUCGGGAGAUGCGGCAGAGGCGGGAGGAAGGUAACGGCAGCAGAGCUGACACUCUAAUGACUGCUCUUAAAGGGCCAGACAACGCUCCAAUUACAAGGAUUUACUGCAAACCCUGGAGAAUAUUUCUACACCGACCCCUUACUGUCACCCGGACAACGAGUGUAUAACUGCCUGUCACCCGCCAGUGACCAGGUGAUGGGCUGUUUUCGCCUUCAGACGCCGCCUCCCAUCAUGUCUUCCUGUGUCUUCCCCUCCUCCUAUGAUGAUGACCCUAUGGGUGAUGAUGAAGAUAUCGCGGAGGACAUUUCACAUAAUGGAGGAUCCUCGGAGUUGCCCCUUCUUCCUCCCGGCUCUGACCCCGUGGACAUGGUCGCUCCCCAGUGUCUCGUCCUCCCAGUUUCAGGGUGUUGUGAGACGGUCAGUGCUGUCCCCUCCCCCGCGCUCUACACCCCGUCAGAGCUGGAGGCCGUGUGCGGACUGUUGUGUCUAUCGGCCACAUCCCCCCCGCACCGCGCACAAUAGACACUGAGCUCCGCCCACCUCUGUAUUAUUUGUGUUUUUUCUUGUAUUAGAGUGUAAGCUCUGCGGGUGAGCCCUGGUGUGUGGCCGGUAGUUCCGUCAGUCAUAGUGACACCUGCAGGCCGUCCACUGAUCUGACAGGUGAUUAGACACCUUAUCUGCUUGUAUACCAUGUCAGAGCGGUU
Molecule: RNA transcript, 939 nt
Organism: Bufo gargarizans (Asiatic toad)
Lineage: Eukaryota; Metazoa; Chordata; Amphibia; Anura; Bufonidae
Gene: SAP25
Gene name: Sin3A associated protein 25
Exons: 3
Source: RefSeq, a predicted model, not a curated record